Bos taurus (domestic cattle) is the source of this 2286-nucleotide long non-coding RNA. NCBI's taxonomy places the organism in Eukaryota, Metazoa, Chordata, Mammalia, Artiodactyla, Bovidae. The record is from Ensembl.
CAGCCCUAAUUGAGUUCACCCUAACUGAGUUGUUGCUAGUUAAUGAGCCUGUUUACAUGAAGACUCAAAUCCUUCUUUCUCCCUUAGAUUCUCUGGCAUCAUUAAAUCUUCUAAACAUUAGGGAACAUCUCUAAAUGCAAGUCUUGGACAUCACCGCGCUCAGCACACCCCAUGUUCUGGAACAGUCAGGGGACUCCCUAACAGAGGCCAGUUUUCAUCCAAGGAGUAGCUAAAACCCUGUGAGUUUUGAGGUUACUAAGUCCUCCUCAAUGUGCUCACCUGGGAUGGUGUGGAAAGCUUUGGAACCACGCUGGCCUGGGUUAGGAUCCCAGUCUAUCGCUUGCUAUCUUUGUGGCCUUGGGCAAUUUACCUAACCUCUCUGAACUUGUUUUCUUAUCCCAAAAAAAAAAAAAGAAAGAAAUGAAACACCAAAGCAAAACAAAACAAAAAACUACGAGCCUUGUAGGGUUACUGUGGGAUUAGAUGAAAUCAAGGUAUGCAGUUGGUACCUAAUACAUACCAGCUCUCCUCCCCCUCCUUCUGCCUGCCAAGGUGAUUAACAUUCUGCAGAGACAAGAACAGCCAAGCAACUUUCUCUAAAAGAAGAUUCGUUUCUCUGUUCACGUUUUUCCUGGAAGGGCACUAACAGGAAACCUUAGACUGGCAGGAGCACCUUCACUUUGGUCCUUCUGCGCAGUAAUAAAAGGUUCCCACAGAGCCUCACCCGCCUGGAGCUGGCGUGUAUGACAUGAUAUGAACCACGUGCGUCCAUUGGAAAAUGGCUGUCUUGCCAUCUAUGGCCACCAGGAGGUCAGGGCUCGCAUCUCCCACUCACCUGGGCCACUAGUCAGCCUCGCUUCGGUCCGUCUUCCACUCUUGCCCUCCCCGAAGACACUUCUUCCGCGGAGGCCAAAUCUCAAAAUGCAAAUCUGCAAAUCCAGUUACAGACGCCUGCUCUGCCCCCUCCAUCGUCUUUCCUGCAAACCCCAACGCGGCCCACCCGCUGCCUACCACUCCUGUCCCCGUCCCGGCCUCCUCUCUCCCGGAAGCUGGACCUUCCUUCUCCCGGAAGCUGCACCAGCCACAGAAUCUCCGAGACUCUGGCUGCCCAGCUCCUCCAUAAUAACCAGGCAUGGAUGAGACAGAGAUUUUACAACCCUCACUGGAAUAUCCUGCUGCCUGAAAAAGCACCACGGACCUGGAGUCUUGAAACCAGAGGCAGCCCGAAUCCAGCCACUGUCCCUGCUCCUCAGCAGGGUUGAUUAAUUCAGGCAAGAGCCAGGAUUUGCCUGAUGGUCCAGUGGAUAGGAAUCUGCUUGCCAACACGAGGGACAUGGGUUUGAUCUCUGGUCAGAGAAGAUUCCACAUGCCUCAGGACAACUAAGCCCAUGGGCCACAGAACUAUUGAGCCCACGUGCCCCAGAGCCCAAGUUCGACAAGAGAAGCCACAGCAAUGAUAAGCCUGUAUGACACUCCUACAGAGGAGCUGGCCUCAGCAAUGAAGACCCAUCACAGCCAAAAAUAAAUAGGAAAAUAAAGUUGUUUAAAAAAAAAAAGCUUCCACUCCCAUGACCAUUGUCUGAGGUUCAACAGCAGGAGUUUAUCAAAGAAGGGGAACAUCCAGCUAAGACUAGUACCUCAGAAGGUUUAACAGAAGGUUAGAAACACACCUAUUUUAAGGUUUGCAGCCUAAAUGUCACAUAGGAAUAAAAAGGAACCCCAGUGAAGGACUCCUCACAUAGAAUUCCAUCACAAAUUAAUCACAGGUUAUCAUAAGUUGAGGGAAAUGGCAGUAUAGCAGAAAAAAUUUAUUUUAAUUUAUACCUCUAAUUAAGCAACAUUUGAAACUUUUCUGUUUAGUUGAAAGUCUGUUUAUCUACUGCUGAAUAAUAAAAUACCCCCAAACAUAUAUACAUAUGUGUGUGUGUAUAAUUCACAUACCAUUAAAUUCCCCCUAAGGCAUACAAUUCAGUGGUUUUUUCAGUAUAUUCACAAAUUGGUCAGACUAUCACCGCUAACUCCAGAACAUAUAGUGUCAAGUGUAAACUGUUAGUCGCUCAGCAGUGUCCAGCUCUUUGCAACUCCAUGACUGUAGCCUCCCAAGCUCCUUUGUCCAUGGGAUUCUCAAGGCAAGAAUACUGAAGGGGUUGCCAUUUCCUUCUCCACGGGAUCUUCCUGAACCAGGGAUCGAACCCUGGUUUUCCUGCAUUGCAGGCAGAUUCUUUACCAUCUGAGCCACCAGGAAAACCAACACCAGAACAUAUUCAUCACCUCAAAAAAGAACCC